AACGAACGCUGGCGGCAUGCCUAACACAUGCAAGUCGAACGAGACCUUCGGGUCUAGUGGCGCACGGGGGCGUAACGCGUGGGAACCUUCCCUUAGGUUCGGAAUAACUCCCCGAAAGGGGUGCUAAUACCGGAUAAUGUCUUCGGACCAAAGAUUUAUCGCCUUUGGAUGGGCCCGCGUUGGAUUAGCUAGUUGGUAGGGUAAAAGCCUACCAAGGCGACGAUCCAUAGCUGGUCUGUGAGGAUGAUCAGCCACACUGGGACUGAGACACGGCCCAGACUCCUACGGGAGGCAGCAGUGGCGAAUAUUGGAACAUGGGCGAAAGCCUGAACCAGCACUGCCGCGUGAGUGAUGAUGGCCUUAGGGUAGUAAAGCUCUUUUACCCGGGAUGAUCAUGACAGUACCGGGAGAAUAAGCCCCGGCUAACUACGUG
Molecule: ribosomal RNA, 433 nt
Filed under: uncultured bacterium
Lineage: Bacteria
Description: partial 16S ribosomal RNA
Rfam family: Bacterial small subunit ribosomal RNA
Source: RNAcentral